AACGAACGCUGGCGGCAUGCCUAACACAUGCAAGUCGAACGAGACCUUCGGGUCUAGUGGCGCACGGGUGCGUAACGCGUGGGAACCUGCCCUUAGGUUCGGAAUAACUCCCCGAAAGGGGUGCUAAGACCGGAUAAUGUCUUCGGACCAAAGAUUUAUCGCCUUUGGAUGGGCCCGCGUUGGAUUAGCUAGUUGGUAGGGUAAAAGCCUACCAAGGCGACGAUCCAUAGCUGGUCUGAGAGGAUGAUCAGCCACACUGGGACUGAGACACGGCCCAGACUCCUACGGGAAGCAGCAGUGGGGAAUAUUGGACAAUGGGCGAAAGCCUGAUCCAGCGAUGCCGCGUGAGUGAUGAAGGCAUUAGGGUUGUAAAGCUCUUUUACCCGGGAUGAUAAUGACAGUACCGGGAGAAUAAGCUCCGGCUAACUCCGUG
RNAcentral lists this ribosomal RNA (433 nucleotides) under uncultured bacterium. RNAcentral describes it as "partial 16S ribosomal RNA". It matches the Rfam family "Bacterial small subunit ribosomal RNA", at positions 29 to 507 of the family's 1533-position model. The record is from RNAcentral.